RNAcentral lists this ribosomal RNA (301 nucleotides) under uncultured bacterium. Its description in RNAcentral is "partial 16S ribosomal RNA". It matches the Rfam family "Bacterial small subunit ribosomal RNA", at positions 509 to 809 of the family's 1533-position model. The record is from RNAcentral.
CAGCAGCCACGGGAAUACGGAGGAUCCAAGCGUUAUCCGGAAUCAUUGGGUUUAAAGGGUCCGUAGGCGGUCUUGUAAGUCAGUGGUGAAAGCCCAUCGCUCAACGGUGGAACGGCCAUUGAUACUGCAGGACUUGAAUUAUUGGGAAGUAACUAGAAUAUGUAGUGUAGCGGUGAAAUGCUUAGAGAUUACAUGGAAUACCAAUUGCGAAGGCAGGUUACUACCAAUUGAUUGACGCUGAUGGACGAAAGCGUGGGUAGCGAACAGGAUUAGAUACCCGUGUAGUCCCUGUCUCUUAUAA